UACGAAGGGGGCUAGCGUUGCUCGGAAUCACUGGCGUAAAGGGUGCGUAGGCGGGUCUUUAAGUCAGGGGUGAAAUCCUGGAGCUCAACUCCAGAACUGCCUUUGAUACUGAAGAUCUUGAGUUCGGGAGAGGUGAGUGGAACUGCGAGUGUAGAGGUGAAAUUGUAGAUAUCGGGAGGAACACCAGUGGCGAAGGCGGCUCACUGGCCCGAUACUGACGCUGAGGCACGAAAGCGUGGGGAGCAAACAGGG
Molecule: ribosomal RNA, 252 nt
Filed under: uncultured bacterium
Lineage: Bacteria
Description: partial 16S ribosomal RNA
Rfam family: Bacterial small subunit ribosomal RNA
Source: RNAcentral